RNAcentral lists this ribosomal RNA (450 nucleotides) under uncultured soil bacterium. RNAcentral's name for it is "bacterial SSU rRNA". It matches the Rfam family "Bacterial small subunit ribosomal RNA", at positions 26 to 522 of the family's 1533-position model. The record is from RNAcentral.
AGAACGAACGCUGGCGGCAUGCCUAAUACAUGCAAGUCGAACGAACACUUCGGUGUUAGUGGCGCACGGGUGCGUAACGCGUGGGAAUCUGCCCUUGGGUUCGGAAUAACAGUUGGAAACGACUGCUAAUACCGGAUGAUAUCGAAAGAUCAAAGAUUUAUCGCCCAGGGAUGAGCCCGCGUAGGAUUAGCUAGUUGGUGAGGUAAAGGCUCACCAAGGCGACGAUCCUUAGCUGGUCUGAGAGGAUGAUCAGCCACACUGGGACUGAGACACGGCCCAGACUCCUACGGGAGGCAGCAGCAGGGAAUAUUGGACAAUGGGCGCAAGCCUGAUCCAGCAAUGCCGCGUGAGUGAUGAAGGCCUUAGGGUUGUAAAGCUCUUUACCCGAGAUGAUAAUGACAGUAUCGGAAGAAUAACGCCCGGACUAACGUCCCGUGCCAGCACGCCGAC